RNAcentral lists this ribosomal RNA (496 nucleotides) under uncultured bacterium. Its description in RNAcentral is "partial 16S ribosomal RNA". It matches the Rfam family "Bacterial small subunit ribosomal RNA", at positions 29 to 507 of the family's 1533-position model. The record is from RNAcentral.
AUGAACGCUGGCGGCGUGCCUAAUACAUGCAAGUCGAGCGCACGGACGAGAAGCUUGCUUUUCUGAUGUUAGCGGCGGACGGGUGAGUAACACGUGGAUAACCUACCUAUAAGACUGGGAUAACUUCGGGAAACCGGAGCUAAUACCGGAUAAUAUUUUGAACCGCAUGGUUCAUAAGUGAAAGACGGUCUUGCUGUCACUUAUAGAUGGAUCCGCGCUGCAUUAGCUAGUUGGUAAGGUAACGGCUUACCAAGGCAACGAUGCAUAGCCGACCUGAGAGGGUGAUCGGCCACACUGGAACUGAGACACGGUCCAGACUCCUACGGGAGGCAGCAGUAGGGAAUCUUCCGCAAUGGGCGAAAGCCUGACGGAGCAACGCCGCGUGAGUGAUGAAGGUCUUCGGAUCGUAAAACUCUGUUAUUAGGGAAGAACAUAUGUGUAAGUAACUGUGCACAUCUUGACGGUACCUAAUCAGAAAGCCACGGCUAACUACGUG